GUUAGCGGCGGACGGGUGAGUAACACGUGGGUAACCUACCUAUAAGACUGGGAUAACUUCGGGAAACCGGAGCUAAUACCGGAUAACAUUUGGAACCGCAUGGUUCUAAAGUGAAAGAUGGUUUUGCUAUCACUUAUAGAUGGACCCGCGCCGUAUUAGCUAGUUGGUAAGGUAACGGCUUACCAAGGCAACGAUACGUAGCCGAGCUGAGAGGGUGAUCGGCCACACUGGAACUGAGACACGGUCCAG
This 249-nucleotide ribosomal RNA is filed under the name uncultured Staphylococcus sp. Its description in RNAcentral is "partial 16S ribosomal RNA". It matches the Rfam family "Bacterial small subunit ribosomal RNA", at positions 91 to 334 of the family's 1533-position model. Lineage: Bacteria; Bacillati; Bacillota; Bacilli; Caryophanales; Staphylococcaceae. The record is from RNAcentral.